UGAGGAGCAGAGGCCCUCGGGUGGGUGAAGUGUGUGGCAGGUGAGCAGAUUCCUGGAGGCAGGCUGGCGUUAGGAAGCCACUCCCCUCUGGGACUGCACUGUUCACAGGGCCAGGUGUGGUUGCUGCCACCUCAUCCUUCCACCUGUGUCACUGCUGCCUUCGGGGGAUGCAGCAGAGAGUAGCAGAAAGAGCACUGGCCACGGAACUCUGUGGAUAUAAGAUCUAAUCCCAGCUCUAGCCUACCAGCUGUGUGACCUUGACCUUGAUCAAGACUCUCACCCUCUUUAAGCCUCAAACUCUUCAUCUGCAAGAGGAAGAUAAUACCUUCUCCCUCAGCUUCCUGCAGAGGAUAAAGGGAAUCCUGAAUCUGAAGCAGAUGUGGCUGAGAUCUUUGGCCCAUGAAAGGUGAUCCUGCUUUACUAAGAGUUCCAGAUUCCAAGAUGGCCCCAUACAUGCAGCCCAGGAGAAAGGAGCUGCACCAGACACACUGGGAUUUGAGCUUUAACCGUCCUACUAAAGCUUGUCAGCUGUGUGCUCCCCAAAGGAGUACUUCCCUCUCUGUAAAGAGAAAGAAUUAAAGACUCUCCUUCCAGUAAGAGGAUCACAAUGGCCUUUAGCACACACUUCUGCCCUGGCUGUGUGUGCCACUGAAGCAAAACCAACCUCCUGCCAGAGGGUGCCUGGCAAGAGGUCAGCAGCAAGAUAAGCCACUCAAGGAUUACUGGAUCCAGGUGUGGACAAGGGUAGAUCAGAAGCGAGAAGGCCAGGAAAGCAAUUCAAGAGGGCAGGAAACAUCUGGAAGGUUCAUGCCUCCCUUGAGGGCUUUGAGGGGUGGAUGUUGUCCUGUCUAGUAUCAGGAAGCAGGGCUCUAGCCAUGAGCUCCAAAGAGCUGGUACAAAACUGUUUCUGGGGCUUGAAUGGACCAAGCCCAGAGGCCAGUAUCUGAAGCCAGGGAAUAAAGUCAGAGUGGGAGAAGAAAGGGCAAUUAGACACUGAGUUGGGUUGGAAAACUACUGGGCUAGGACCGAGAUUAUAACUUAACAGUCAAAAACAACAAUAAUGGUAAACAUAAGGGGUUCAUUCUUCUAACAUUCAACAAUCUUGCUAUGCUCCAGGGGUACAGAUAAAUAAAACUAUUCCCUUAUGGCAAGGAGCUCACAGAAAGCUGGAGGAAAACAGCCCUGUAAACUCAACAUUUUAACAGAGCAACUGGAAUGCUUUAGGAUAAAGAGGCUCAAAGUACUAUGGGAGCUUCAAGGAAGGGGCCAUUAACUCUGCCUGGGAAUCCUGGGGAAGGCUGCACAGAGACAGAGAUAUUUUGAACUGUGUUUUGAAUGAUGAAUACCAGGUUCCUCUGUUGGAAAGAGAGGCAGGCAUUCCAAACAACAGAGAGAACACCAUGGGCAAAAGCAGAGCUCUGUGCAGGACGGUGGCACAUCAUCAGAGUACGGAGCAUUGGUAGGAGGGGUCCUUAGAGGAGAAGCAGAGGGACAGGAGGAGGGGAGGAGAGGAGAGAGAGGACAGGACCAAGUCAGGGAGAGUCAGCAUAGCUGGUCUGAGUGUGGACCUGACGCACAGGUGGCAAGGGACCAUUGAGAGUCUGUUGACAUUGAUUAGGCUUCUUUGGUUAUAAGCAACAGAAACAAGUUCUCACUUACUUAAACAAGAAAAAAAAAAACAUGUCAUAGAGGGAAAACAGGUGGUUCCCACACCUGUUGGAGAAUGAGGAGUGUAGGGAAGGGACUGGAAUCAGGGCUGGCCUGGACUGCAGACUGCAGGAACAGGCCACAAUGUCUUCAAGGAGCUGUUGCCCCCAGGACAAGUCAAUUUCACCCCACUCCACUGGCCAGCCACAGUCCAGGGAAGAGUCUGACACAGGGCUGGGGUCACAUGCCCGCCUCCUGGUUGGCAGUCUCACCAAGAUCAUCCACUGUGGGUGGUGCUUCCCCAAAAGGAAAUCAGGGUUCUAGAACCAGAAGGGGAUUGACGCAGGUGCUGCCAGAGCUUGAUACUUGUGUGCCUCUAGUGUUUAAGCCAGAAAAUGACAAACACACAGUGCAGGGAUCAGCUAACUUUUCCUGUAAAUGGCCAGAGAGUAAAUAUUUUCAGCCUUGUGGAUCAUAUGGUCUCUAAGGCAGCUACUCAACUUGGCUGUUAUAGCCCAAAGCAGACAGACCACACGUAGACCAAUGUCUUUACUGCUUGCCAGGAAAGCUGUAUUAAUAAAAACAUAUAGUGGGCCCGAUUGACCCCUGGUUUAGAGCCAUAUUAGGGCAUAAGAGAAAUACAGAAGGUUAGGAAACUGAAAGGAAAGAGACCAAACCAGAAACUGGUCUGUCUAUAAAACCACGUCCUGGCCAGGCGCGGUGGGUCACGCCUGUAAUCCCAGCACUUUGGGAGACCAAGGUGGGCAGAUUGCCUGAGCUCAGGAGUUCAAGACCAGCCUGGGCAACAUGGUGAAUCCCCAACUCUACUAAAAUACAAAAAAAUUAGCCAGGCAUGGUGGCAUGCACCUUUAGUCCCAACUACUUGGGAGGCUGAGGCAGGGGAAAUGCUUGAACCCAGGAGGCGGAGGUUGCAGCAGUGAGCCAAGAUCGCGCCACUGUGCUCCAGCCUGGGUGACAGAGUGAGUGAGACUCCGUCUCAAAAAAAAAAAAAAAGCCAACAAAAAAACACAUCCUAUGGGCUGUCAUGCUAAGUGCGUCCUAUGGGGAAAAAAUUCUCUACAUUUUUCCUCUUUGGGACACUCCCAGGCAAAGCAUCCCUUUUACAAACUUCCUUUUCACAAGCAUUAAGUUCUGUUUCUUCAUGCAUUCAACUUGUUUCUUAAUUGUUUGUUUCUGAAGUGGGUUCUAUUUGUUUGGUGUGUUUUGUAAGCCUUUCAUUCUGGCAAAGGUAGCCACAGUUCUCCUCAGCAGGAUACCAGGCACGUAUUGACUGUUUUUUGAAAAAAUUGCACUGUAACCACAGGUUUCCUGGUGUGGUACACCUGUAUUUAUUGGAGUCAAUUUUUAGAAAUACAACAAUACAACUGCUUCCACACUUUCCGGGUUGCUGUUUCACUCACUGCUUGCAACCCUCAGAGCCUUUCUCCAUACUGCUCUAAGACAUGACAGCUUGGGCAAGAAGUGGCUGGAACGUGGAGAUGGCGCGCACAACCGUGGCCAGGCAAAAGCCUAGCCCUCUUUUGUAAUCACCUCUUCGGUGUGAGGCAAUAUGCUGUGAAUUAGUGUGUUCCAGGCCCAGAGUGGUAACAUAUGGUGUAUCUCUGCUCAUUCUACAUUAAAUCCUGACAUUUUGCAGCUGUCAAGAUAAAGCUGUUUAUAUGAGUAACAUUGUAGUUUGUUUAUAG
Molecule: long non-coding RNA, 3353 nt
Filed under: Homo sapiens (human)
Lineage: Eukaryota; Metazoa; Chordata; Mammalia; Primates; Hominidae
Description: HSALNT0129217
Source: RNAcentral